GACGAACGCUGGCGGCGUGCUUAACACAUGCAAGUCGAACGGAAAGGCCCUGCUUUUGUGGGGUGCUCGAGUGGCGAACGGGUGAGUAACACGUGAGUAACCUGCCCUUGACUUUGGGAUAACUUCAGGAAACUGGGGCUAAUACCGGAUAGGAGCUCCUGCUGCAUGGUGGGGGUUGGAAAGUUUCGGCGGUUGGGGAUGGACUCGCGGCUUAUCAGCUUGUUGGUGGGGUAGUGGCUUACCAAGGCUUUGACGGGUAGCCGGCCUGAGAGGGUGACCGGCCACAUGGGACUGGAGAUACGGCCAGACUCCUACGGGAGGCAGCAGUGGGGAAUAUUGCACAAUGGGCGGAAGCCUGAUGCAGCAACGCCGCGUGCGGGAUGACGGCCUUCGGGUUGUAAACCGCUUUCGCCUGUGACGAAGCGUGAGUGACGGUAAUGGGUAAAGAAGCACCGGCUAACUACGUG
Molecule: ribosomal RNA, 467 nt
Filed under: uncultured bacterium
Lineage: Bacteria
Description: partial 16S ribosomal RNA
Rfam family: Bacterial small subunit ribosomal RNA
Source: RNAcentral